UUCUAGAAUGUUCCAUCUUACAUCAGCAAGGAGCACCUGUGAGGUCACACAGAGCCUCAGUUACUGUUAUUUCUAGUCUAUUUGUUCUAGUCUGUCACGUUCACUGCUGGUUGGUCUUGGCCUGAUAGCUCAUGUUCCCUGAGAUUGGCAGAUAGAACAGGCCAAGGGCUGGGUGCUGGAGGAUCCCAGGAGCUCAGAGGGAAUGGUUCAGACAGCAGUGAAUGCCAUACCUAUGUAGGUAAAGGAGGCUCUGUGGGUGUCACUUUCACGAGGGAGGCAUCUAGAUGUCAGCUUUGAGAUCACCAAGAGGAACACUGUAUCCUGGGCAUGCCUGACCCAGUCAGAGGAGCCUGUAACAGAGGGUCAGAGAGACCUGACUUGAAAGGUCAUAUGACCCAGGUUCACAUCACAAACUAAGCUCUGGAGUCCAGUUCAUGGAGGUUCUGAGGUCCUGGAACCUCUGGGCCUUGGCAGAUGUUUGUGGAGGAUGCUACUUUCAGAACUGCCCUCAACAACUUGGACAACUUGGACAUCCAGUCCCUCACAUGUGUCACCCCCAGUUUGUGCCUCGAUGCCCUGAGAGGAGAGACUCCCGCUGACCUCGACCCAGGAUUUGCUCAAGAAGGAAUGAACCAGCUGUGGAUCCACAUCUGCUGUGUAAAGACAAUCAUUUGUCCCUACUGUGAAGAUCACAGCCCUUCAAGAACUCCCUCAAGCCCCUUCAUGAAAUAGCCCACCAGUGUAGUGUCUUCA
Molecule: long non-coding RNA, 753 nt
Organism: Mastomys coucha (southern multimammate mouse)
Lineage: Eukaryota; Metazoa; Chordata; Mammalia; Rodentia; Muridae
Exons: 4
Source: RefSeq, a predicted model, not a curated record